Paramormyrops kingsleyae is the source of this 933-nucleotide long non-coding RNA. RefSeq lists it as uncharacterized. Lineage: Eukaryota; Metazoa; Chordata; Actinopteri; Osteoglossiformes; Mormyridae. The record is from RefSeq and is a predicted model, not a curated record.
CGCUAAACUAAGCGAGACAGUUAGCCUGGUCAGGACCGGUCCGUCUUGUUCGCAGGCCUAAAUUACUAUGGUAAUUCAGCGGGGAUUCAUUUAAGACACGUUGAUGGAACGGAACUCUCACUUAAAGCCACACAUCCAGCGGAGAGCUUUGACAAGCCUGGAGCCAUUCCCAGAAUCUACUGUGAAGAGGAUGUUAGGCCGUCACAGGACAUCCCCUGAACAGUAUACACACCCACACACAAAGGGCAACUGUAACACACUGGCCCAUCUGAACUGCCCUUGGUUUGAGGAUCAAUACCAUCAUAGGUCCCAAGCAUGUACAGACGGCGAGCUAUUCCAGUUCUUUAUGACCAGUUCAGCCAGUUGCUGAAUGGACGUUUAACCCACAUCAACAGGAUUAGGUCAACCUCCAAGGCAAGAAUAACUCCACCAGUGAUGGAUUCCAUCUGUUUCUGGAAGCAGAGGCUGCAUAUGUCAUUUCGCUUCUGCCCUGUUGCAUGCUGGCUUGUUGUACUCACGCUGCUCUGUCAAGGGGAAAAAAUCAUCAGUCAAAUUCAGCCACCCACCUGCUCAUUCACCCUGCCUCUUGUCUGGAUAUAUAACGUCAGGAGUUUGUCCAAAUGGAUUUUUUUUACAGAACACUUGCAGCACAUUGCCAAUGACAUUUCAUGUGAAAAUAGUGAAUUAUGAAAUAAAGCAGCCAGUCAUGACAGUAGCUCAGGCACAGAAAUUAUCCUUCUAGCAAAAAUUAAUUGCUCAGUUUCCGAUAUCUUGGAAAUGCAUUUUCCACUGAACAAAUAUGGAGUCUCCCUGUAUGGUGAUGGACAGCUUGAAUUUAAAUAGGCUGUGAAAGCUAAUGUUAGAAACUUUCGGAAAAAUGUGCAUUUUUAAGGGAAAUAUGUAUAUUUCUUUGCCAGUGCACCAUUAAUAAAC